Molecule: long non-coding RNA, 466 nt
Organism: Struthio camelus australis
Lineage: Eukaryota; Metazoa; Chordata; Aves; Struthioniformes; Struthionidae
Source: RefSeq, a predicted model, not a curated record
UUACAGCGCAGCUGUAACCUGUGCAGUUCUUCAGGCUGUUGUAAGAAAGAGCUGUGAGAAGCUGGGUCCUGCCCUGUCUUUGCUCAGGAGCCGCGUUUAAGCAGAGGGUCUUGGCACUGGCCCCACGCGAGCUACGCUGAAGGUGCUUCAUGAAAAUCUGCACUAAAACCCGGGGGAUGACUCAUACAAAUGUCUGCAGACGCAGGCACAAUUCUUCUAUUCUAAGUAUUUUCUACAGAUAGUUCCAGCCACAGCCCUACAACUCUGGGAUUACAGGUCAAGAUGGGGAGUAACAAUAUUUUUGAGACGUGCUGGCUGGCUUCCAUGAAAUUAGAGUUUUGAUGUUGCCAGGGUCAAAGAUCAGCUCACCCAAACAGACUGAGAAAUGUGGGCAUUAUGAGAGAUCUGCUUGGGAGCAACUCCACCUGGAGAACAGCUAACAUUCAGUAGGAAACAAAAACAUGAA